GAUGAACGCUAGCGGCAGGCUUAAUACAUGCAAGUCGUACGGGAUCCGAGGUAGCAAUACUUUGGUGAGAGUGGCGCACGGGUGCGUAACACGUAUGCAACCUACCUUUAACCGGGACACAACCCACCGAAAGGUGAGCUAAUAUCCCAUAACACUGCGAAGUGGCAUCACUUUGCAGUUAAAACUCCGGUGGUUAUGGAUGGGCAUGCGCGACAUUAGCUAGUUGGUGAGGUAACGGCCCACCAAGGCUACGAUGUCUAGGGGUUCUGAGAGGAUUAUCCCCCCACACUGGUACUGAGACACGGACCAGACUCCUACGGGAGGCAGCAGUAAGGAAUAUUGGUCAAUGGGCGCAAGCCUGAACCAGCCAUGCCGCGUGAAGGAUGACGGCCCUAUGGGUUGUAAACUUCUUUUGUACGGGAAAAACCACCGGUCGUGUAUCGGUGCUGAUGGUACCGUAAGAAUAAGCAUCGGCUAACUCCGUGCCAGCAGCCGCGGUAAU
This 502-nucleotide ribosomal RNA is filed under the name uncultured bacterium. Its description in RNAcentral is "bacterial SSU rRNA". It matches the Rfam family "Bacterial small subunit ribosomal RNA", at positions 28 to 524 of the family's 1533-position model. The record is from RNAcentral.